RNAcentral lists this long non-coding RNA (15030 nucleotides) under Homo sapiens (human). RNAcentral describes it as "non-protein coding SGMS1-AS1:17". The record is from RNAcentral. Lineage: Eukaryota; Metazoa; Chordata; Mammalia; Primates; Hominidae.
GGGACCGAGCGGGACCCCGAACCAAGGGACAGUCGCAGUUUGGGCCCCUUGAAUUUUACUUUCAAGUAAUGGGAAACUGAGGAGGCGGGCGCUUUCCCCAGCGUUUUUAGGGGCCCACUAAGUAAGGCCUAGCGGGAGCCAGAUUUUACAAUCUGGGACGGUAAAUCCCUUGGGGCAGGGCCGGAGACGGGAGCCGCUAGAGCUGGUCACAAAGCAGGGAACGCAAACUCAGCCUGCUGGAAGCCAGGCACGAGUUUGCGAACUACUACUGGAUUCUUUUUCCCACCAAGCCCAAGGGCUGCGACACUUGGGAUUAAUGCCCAAUGGAUCAUUCCUAGGAAACGGCCGACCUGACUAUUCGGCCCAUUUUCAAACCUCUAACCAUAGACUCUCAUCUUUCUCCCACAACAGAAAAAAAAAGCCUCUGGCGACGCCUGGGAGCGCGACGGAGGCGCAAGAGCUCUAACCGCGCGAGGUGAAAACUCCGACUGCGUCAGAGCCGCCCCGCCCCGCCUGGGGCCCACCUUCCGCCGCCCCUCCGAGCUGCGGCGAAAACCCGGAGAGCGGCUAGGCCGGGGUCGGAGCCCGCGCAUGCCCAGUAGCCCCACGUGGUGCAAGUCGCCUGAAGGAAGGUUUUCCUCUGCUCCCCGAGCGAAGCCCCAGCGCCCAAGUUAGGAUGGACAGCGGGGAGAGCUGGCCUUCCCGCCCCGAUGCCCGCCGUCCCUGGCCGGCCCGCGCCGCACCUCGGUGGCCUACAGGCAGCCCGAGGCCGUGCCUCCCGCGGGGUCGGGGACUUGGCGAGCGGGGGAAGGGGCGCGGCUACGGGCCCGGCGUACCACGUGACUGUCCGCGGCGCUCCGGGCAGCCAUCUUCCGCCCGGCCAUCGGGCCGCGGGCGCUCGGAACCGACCUGGGAGCUGGCGGGACCGUCCUCCCCCGCCACGCCCUCCCAUCGGGCUUUGGGCGCCGGACUCUGGCCACCGCUCGGCACCUGCCUCCGCCUCGCCUUGGGGUAUAGGAGUCCUGUACCGACCCCUGGCUUGCCCAGAGGACAGGUUCUCGCCCGGGCCAGAAGCAAACUGCGGCGAAAUCGAGACAACAGAACUCAGAGUCACUCUGUCACCCAGGCUGGAGUGCAGUGGCACCAUCACAGCUCCCUGCAGCCUUGACUUACAGGGCUCCAGUGAUCCUCCACCCUCAGCCUCCUGAGUAUCUGAGACCACAGGUGCAAGCCACCAUGCCCAGGUCUCUUUCACCCUCUAGCAUACAUCUUACUAAGGCAUCUAAAGUACUUACUACUUCGUACUCAUGGGAUCCAAUGAUGCUCACAUAAUGUCAUCAAUAGAGUGGACCAGUGUGAUGUUUUGUGGAAUGUCAGAACAAUCAAGAUCACUUCAGACUAUUAUGGCAGUGAGCAAGAGAACUAAUGGAGCCCGUGGCAACACUGGGAAGACAUAUUGUUGGCCCUGUUGGGUAACAGCAAAUCACUUCUGAUGGACCUUGCAAAUUGGUAUGGAGGAAAAGGCAUUAGCCAGGUAAAUAAGUGCAUACCAAAUGUCAGAUCUGCCCCAGGUGCAUACCAAUGUGUUAAUCUGCCCCAGUAAAGGUACUACUUCUGGGAGAGCAGCUGAAAUUGGAGUCCCCAUCUGAUUACAUUUAUGACAUUCCACAGUCAUUCUUCAAGAUCCAUUUGUCUUCUGCACAGUCUAAACUGGGGAAUUAAAUGGGAGAUACUAUAGGUAUCACUACCAACCACCUGUAGUCAAAGUUCAAAUAGUGCUCUGGAAGCAAGGAGACUUUUGUUUCUAUCCAUGGAAAUUUGUCUCAAUGUGAUCCAGAGCCACGUAGCCUGAAUAACAGGAGCAAGACCUUAGGAGCCCCUGCUUAGCUCUUUAAACUCUUCUGGCCAACCUGGGUUCCAAACCAAGGCUAACCAAAAAAGCUAGUCGAAGACAACAAAGGUCAUUCCAAGUAUUGGCCCCGAGGCUUAGAUCUGAUAAUACUCAACAUUCUGUGCUCAUUCCUGUGUACCUGGCUAGGAUUCCUGGCUUCAAUAACUGCUUGGCUUCUAUUCAUUGACAAAAAACUUGGAAUUUAUUUGAAGAUACCAGGGUAGAUCAGGGAUGCAGCUGAGCCUCGGGAUGAGAUGGAAACCAGGAACUGGAGUAUUGAAAGGAACCCAGAAAGUCUCCCUCUGUCUCCUCUGCAUUUCUAUUUAUUCUCUCCCUGUGGUUUCUGGCUUUUUUCCUUCAGUUCCAUGAAAUGACCACUUGAGAGCUCCCAAGUUUUUAAUCUCUUCCAGAGAGUAACAAGAACAACCCUACCUAUAUUCAUUAACCCUCUUGUCUAGUUGAAUCCUAUUUCCCCAGAUUCCCACUGGCCACUUAAUCUUACUAAUAUUUCAAGGUCCAUCUCCAAUUUCACCUUUUUUUGUAUACAAAUGUUCAUAACAGCUUUAUUUAUAACAGCCCCAAACUGGAAACAACCCAAGUGUUCAUCGGUAGGUCAAUGGACAAAUCUGUUCAAUGAAGUGGUACUCAGCAAUGAAAAACACAAAAACAAAAACUCUUGACAAAUGCUACCACAUGGAUGGAUCUCAAAAUAAUUAUACUGAGUAAAAUAAGGCUGACCAAAAAACGGAUACAUAUUGUAUGAUUCAAUUUACAUAGAAUUCUAGGACAUGCAAACUAAUAAUGGGGCAAAAGGGCACUUGGGGAUGAUGGGUCUGAUUUUCACCUUGAUCGCAGUGAUAGUUUUACGCAGGGUAUACAUAUGCCAACACACUGUACACUUUAGAUAUGUGCAGUUUAUCAGCGGUCAAGUAUACCUCAGUAAAGCUAAAAUAAAAAUAUUAAUGGGCUCCACAUUCUGGAGACACUGGCAGUAGAACUAUUAUUUUCAGCUUGAAAUAUUAGCUACACUUUGGUAAAAAUACUUUUGAAUUUUAUCUUCACAGUUGUAGCAAGGAAACCAAAAGGUAUAAACAUUCACUGAUUGAAAAACAAUGUCAUAAAGUCAUCCCAGUAUCUGUGAGGAGUUGGUUCCAGGACCCCUGAGGACACCAAAAUCCUCAGAUGCUCAAGUCCCUGAUAAAAAAAUAAAAGCAGUGGUGCCCUCGGGUUCAAAAACCUGAACGGUGGUCUUCAGUUGUUCCCCCAAGCUCCUCUAUCAGAGGCCCAGACACUCCAAGAGGCUGGGAAGAGGCAAGUGGCUUUCCCUGACUGGCAUCAGACUCCUGGAUGGCUGUGUUUCUGCAUACUCCACCAUCAACAAUCAGAAGGGCACUGCUUUCUUCAAGAAGGGGACCUUGCAAAGAACUGUCUCAGAUGGACUAUCUUUGAGUUCAUCUUGUUCUGAAUGUGAGUCUGAGUCUUUGUUUCCAGAUGACACAGUGCUGUCUGAGUCCUCUGAAUCACCUGCCUCAGAGCUGCAGCAAAGUUUCUGCUGCCCAGAAACUGAAUGGGCUGCUUGUAAUGCAGAUUCUUCCUCCUGGACAAGAAGUGCUGCUGCUUCUAGUUCUUCCAGUUCUAACCCCAACUGGGCCUUUGUAAGGGAGACUUCCUUUAAGGCUUCUGCAAGAGCUGCCAACGUUUUGGAUUUGACUUUCUGAGUCCACACACAGUAGUAUGAGAUGUAGAGAUCAUUCAGUAUGUAUGCUGGGUCGUUUUCCUGAAAAAUUUUGUGAAUAUCCAGGAGACACUUUAAAACUGCACUUUUACUUAAUUGCAGUAUCUUUAUAGUCUCCCCGUAGGCCUUCAUCGCCAGUUUGAAAUGGCGAUAGAGCAGGUAACACAAUACCCUUCUUCCAAAAGACACCAUGAUAUCAUGAACAUUAGUCCAAGUCUCAAACCAGCAUAGUAUUGGACUCAAGUUUCGUGAUAUUCCAUGCAGAUUCAACGUUCUUGUCUCCUUCAGUGACACGGGUUUCUUAGCAAUAUGCCAGAAGGAUAUCAAUCGAACUGUAGUACACUUGACGACAGGCUCUGUUGUCUAGCAGAUAAGAUUUAUUGACAAAUUCUUGUAGCUGAUAUUUCUCUUCUUCAGAAAAAGACACUAAUGCAGCAUGAUUUUCUUGCUUCUGACUCUUUUCCAAAAAGGCCGUCAUUUUUUAAUAUUUGUCAGUCCACCAAGGAUUAUACUUCAAAAUCUGUUCAACUGCCUCAUCUUCAAAAAAGUCAGCUAGAUAAUGAUCAGGAUCAAACUUGGCCAGCUCGGCGGCCAGGUGCUUUUGUUUUCGUUCUGCUGCAGGGAUGAAAUCUGGAUCCUUAAUAACAUCACUCAAUUCAUCCUGUAACUGCUGAAACACUCCUGAUCGUAAGUUUCCAAACCCAUAGUGGCAUGAGGAUUCAAAGCACUUUCUGUUACCUCUUCAUAGGGUGUCUGCUCAAUUUCCCAAUCAAACUCUUCAUCGUCAACUACUUCCUCAGGAAUUUCAGAAUCACCUAUUGCUUCCACAAGUGGUUUUGCUGUCCCGGAUUUUCCUGGUGCCAGAAGAGCAACACAUGUUCAGCCCCUCAAAAUGCUGGCCAGGGGUUUCUCUGGGCAGGCGAGUGGUAAAAAUUCCUUUAUCUGCAUCAUAGGACCCUUGCUCGCUUCCGUAUCCAUAUUCUACAAUUCUUCCAGGAGGGGUUAAUCUGAGAAAGUACGGCUUGGCAUAGUAGUCUAGGCCGACCCCUCGAAGUAGACGUUGAACUCGGAGGCCGGGGCAUAGGGCACGCGGAUGGCGAUGGUCAGGAAAUCCGGCUCCUGGCUGAGGCUGAACGCCGGGGUCAGCAUCGCGGCACCAGACGCAGGGGCCAGCGCGGCUCGCCCUCGCUGCCGCGGCGGUCCCACCAAGCAACUCUCUCCAAUUUUACCUUUUUAAAAUAAAAGAUGUCUGGGCCAGGCGCAGUGGCUCACGCUUGUAAUCCCAGCACUUUGGGAAGCCGAGGCGGGUGGAUCCUGACCUGAGGUCAGGAGUUCAAGAUCAGCCCCGCCGACAUGACGAAACUCCGUCUCUACUAAAAAUACAAACAUCAGCCGGACGUGGUGGUGGGCGCCUGUAAUCCCCACUACUCGGGAGGCUGAGGCAGGAGAAUCACUUGAACCCGGGAGGCAGAGGUUGCAAUGAGCCGAGAUCAUGCCACUGUACUCCAGCCUGGGUGACAGAGUGAGACUCUGUCUCAAAAAAAAAAAAAAAAAAAAAAAAAAAAGUCUGUCUUCCAGGACACAGAAGCCUCCUAUACACACAUUUUGGCACUUGAUUAUGUUAUGUCUUUUACAGUUCUCUGCAUGUUUCUUGCAGGUAAGUCUUGAUUCUUCAAUUACAUAUUAAAUUUCUAUUGAGGAUAUAUAUCUAGCUUUCAUCUUUCAGAGUACCUAGCAUAGGACUUGGCACCAAGUAGCCCAUAGUAAACAGUUAUUCAACCAUAAUGUAUGAUUUUCUUUUCUACUUUUCACUGGUAUGUUUUUGUUUAAAAAGGGUAAACCACCAGGGAUGGAAAUGUCCUUGCUAUGUUAUCCUUCUUCUCUAAUUAGCAACCACCCUUCACAAUCUGCCACAUUACAUUUAAAAAGGAUUUUCAAAUUAGACAUUUAUGCCUGGGCAUUAACCAGGGACUGAUGAAUCAGUGCCAUCAGCAGAACACUGCCCUGACUGGCAGACAUGGCACCAUUGUCAAGACUUGUAAUUUACUCCUGGCUUUUCAAAUAGUCAGUGUGUAACUCCAGGCAAGGUUUAAUUAUCUCCUGUUAAAAUGGGAAUAAUAUGACCCACCCCCACUUUGCUUCCCAUGGGUAUCAUGAGAAUUAAUUAAUUAUUGAAUAAGAAUAUAUGUCUAUAAAAUAUUUUAUAGUUCAUUAGAGGUAAACAAAUGCAAACGUAAGAUAUUGUUCAAUGUAUUAUGAAUGUUCAUUGUUGCUGUAUUUAGUACAAAGUACCUGUAUUAUAUCAACAGUGGUAGUACACAAAAUAAUGAAUACAUGUUGGGUCAGCACCUCCUCCAAUUACCACUUGCAAACAAGUCCUGGAUGGCCAGAACUAAUUGGAAGGUUGAGACAAAAAUUAUAUCUCGCACACUAAAGAAGGGGAGAUUGAUACAGCGCGCUCACCUAAAUUUCGUAGUGCCUUCAUGAACUCUUCAAAAGCUUCAAAUCUAGGCUAGGCUACAGGAAGAACAGCAGCAACUGAAGACUGGCACCUUUUCUGGAACCUCAGCAGCACCUUCCUUGUUUCGUAAGAUUUCGAAGAAGCAUAUCAAAAUUCUUCCACCCAUUCCUUCACAGUAUAAUAGGAGAAAACAUCUAUCCUCCGUUGACACCUGGAAGAAUGAGAUUCCAACUCACUCCAGGACAUGGCCAGAAAAAUUCAACAAAAGAUUUGCUAAAUCCUCUGCACUAUUAUCUAGACCAGGAUUUCUCAACCUCAGCUCUGUGGACAUUUGGGCCAGAUAAUUCUUUGUUACCAGAGGCUGUCCUGUACAUCAUCAGGUGUUUAGCAGCAUUCCUGGCCUCAACCAAAUGGAUGCCAGUAGCACCUCCCCCACCCACUUGUGACAGCCAAAGAUAUCUCCAGACAUUGCCAAAUGUCCCCUGUUAUGGAGAAUCAUCCUCAGUUGAGAAUCACUGGUUUAGGCAAUGAUCAAAGUGGGGCAACUAAAUCAAAAGGCACUGCAAUCUUAAGUUGAUCAAGCAUCCUUCUUUGAAAUCACUCAGCACUUUCAUAUAUUGCAUUUAUAUCUUAGGUAUUCAUAUUCUAACAAUUCAGCCAAUGUUUUUUGAGUUCGCAAUGGACAAGGUACAAGAUCAAGUAAGUAAUUCUGUGUAUCCAUAAAACAGAAAUGGAUAUGGUAUGUCCCAGUUCUCCACAGUAGGCAUUUAUGUUAUUCCCAUCCCAAUAUUUAGCCCUGAUCAGGGUUGUCAAACAUUGCAUGGGACAUACUUAUCCUAAAAAAUUAUUCAUUAUUUAUCUGAAAUUGAAAUUUAACUGGAUGUCCUAUGUGUGUGCAUGUGUAUGUUUGUUUGUUUGUUUCUUUUUCUAAAUCUGAUUACCCUAUCCUAACAGACUCAAGGUUUUUUCCCUGUUCCACAAACUUUAUGACUUGACUUCAUUAAAAAUAAUAAAGAGGAAUAACUGCAAAGGCUUUAAAAAUGCUGUUAGAAUGAGUAGCACAACUGAAUUUGAGGAUACAUUUUCUUUGAAGGAUGUCUAUUUUCCUACUGAAAAUAGUGGCAAACUCCUUAGAACUCAUUCAAAGCCUGAUGGGAUUCAUUGCCUGAUUUAUUUAAAAACACUUCUGAUGCUCACAGACUAUUUAUCAUUUACACAGCAAAUGAUGUUCUUCUAGUAUUCUUGUUGGGUGAGUUAGCAUUGUGGAAGGACAUAGAGGAGAAUCAGACACAAACUUCUUAUAACCUCAUAAACAGGAAGAAAGGGAGCAGAAGCAUAGACUGACUUUACUUUCACUCAGCUUACCUUCCUAGUUCUCCAGGUGUGGUCCUCAGAAGAGGAAUAUCAUGUGACCUGGGAACUUGCUAGAAAUGCACAUCCUUGGGACCCACCCCGGACCUACUGAAUCAGAAACUCUGAGAGUGGGUCCUAGCAACCAGUGUUUUCACAGGCCUUCCAGGUGAUUCUUCCGCAUGUUCGAGUUUGAGAACAACUGCUUUAGAGCCCUGGUUCUUGACCCUGGCUACAGGGUAAAACACCUGGGGAGUUUUUAAAAUACUGAUGCAUGGGGUCCAUUCCAAGGGAGUCUGAUAUAAUUACUAUGGGGUGCAGCCCAGGCGUAAACAUUUUUUAAAAACUCCUCAACCAGAAUAACGGCUCUACAGAAAUUUUAUCAAAUGCCAAAGAAAGAGUUCCUUAUUUUGCAACUAUAGUGCUUUCUACUCUGGCCCUAAUCAACUUUCAUAAAGGCAGAAUGGACAGACAUUACGUGUUUUAAUUUGAAGACUACCAAAAGGCCGGCCAUUAAACUAGGUAUAUGGGCUCGUCCUCAAAUCCCUAAAUCUACUCCUUAGGACCUACUAUAGCCAGUGUCAUAUAAUAGAAAAGUCACUUAUUGUCCACCAGACCCUGCCCUAAUAUUUGAUAACCUCUUGGGGCCUCAUUUUCUUGUGUCUACACUGGGGAUGAUAUUAACUCUUCACAGGAUUUGGGGAAUUAUAAAGAAAGACCAUGUAGUAAAGGCAGGAAGAUCAAUAAUCAAUAAUCACAUCAGAACCUGAAGGGACUUCGUACCAUUGAAGUGAGGCAGAGGAGAGAGAAAUUUAGAAGGACAAAUUCACAAAUUUCAAUGUGUUUCUAUAAUAACUACUUAAAUUAUUUUCUCUUUGAAUUGCCUCACUGUUGUGUGUGUAUGUCCCCACUCCCACCUGUCCCAUUAUUUUCCUGUUUUCACUUGUACCUUGGCAACCCAUCUGUGGUUUUGGCCAAGCUGUUUUAAUGGCAUUGAACCUGGUAGUUUUUUUAAAAGAGUGUGGUAGUAGUUAUAUAUGGCUCGAUAACUCCUGGGGCUACAACAAGGUUAAUGCGACAGUUUUUGUUGUUUAAAAAACAUGCUUGUCUGACAAGUCAAUCAUUUUAAGCCCCUUGUUCACUUCAGGAUGGUUGCUAAAGGCUUCUCUGUGAGCUAAAAGCUCUCGCUGUUAAGGGGCUGCCUGCCCUGACUGUAUGCAUUAAAUGGAACAGUUCUCUACAUGGUUUCUUACUACAGAUGCCUUGGGAUAUAUGGACACUGGCAUUACCUGCUGCAACAGGUCCUCUCCCAGGGUACUGCUGAGACCUAAGGGCUUAAAUGCUCACCAAACCAAGUGACCUUGGAGGGCUGGUCAUGGUGGGCAUCUGGGAGCUGGGAAAGAGCAUUGGAGAACUUCAUAGGGAAACCUAGUAGGCAAAAAUGAAAGAACCCAUAAGGGCCAUUGGCAUGAGCCAUAGCUAAAGGCCACUGGGUUAGCUCUCAAAGAAAACUGCAAGAUUGAAGCAUAAAUUCCUUCAUCAUGAACCAGAAGUCAUGGAGUGGAGCCAGGGGCAAGAAAGAGAAAGAUGAAGAGGUAGAACCACCAGGAUAAAGGUGCCAAGAAAAACAGUGAGAGCAACACUCAGGGAACCAGAGACAGGAACACAGCUGGGAACUAGGAGGAGAAACCACCACAGCUGGAGCGCAAAGUGGCCAGGUCAGAAAAGCCUCAUGGAAUCCUGGUUAACUGAAUGUUUCUAUUGACUGAGGCCACUGCUUAAGCCCUGUAUUCUUUUUUAUUUCAAUCCCCAUGGUUAGAAAAAUAGUCCUAAAAUGGGUUCAUACCCUUUCCUAUCCUGCAAGAUCUUAAACAUCACUAUCUUUUCCUGCAGUAGUUAAAAGCAUGGGCUUUGGAAUCAGAAACUGGGCACAAAUCUGAGCCCUGCUACUUAUUAACUGUGUAACAUUGGUCAAAUGAAUAAACUUCCUGGAGCCUCAGUUUCCUUGCCUGUAAAAUGUGAGUAACAAUACCAACUUAUUUUCAGGUUGUGAGCAUUUCUCCAUAAUAAUCCACAUAAAACACUUACCAGAGCCCUUGGCAUACUGUGUGAGCAUGUAAUAAUGUUAGCUGUCAUUCCAAGACAACAUGUUGGAAUAAUCUACUUUUUCCAUCACUAUAUAUCUCAUUUUCCUUCUUUUUCUUCUCCCUCAAACCUGUCCCCAUUCCAACAGAUGUUUUGGCCUGUGUUCCUAGCCUCCAGUGACAGCAGAAAGCCUGUUAGAUUUCCUGCCUUUGUUUCCCAAAAUUUGAGCCCCAAGAAACUGGGACAAGAUAUUUUCCUGAGACAAGAUAUCUCAGGAAGGGGAAUGAGUGGAGCUUCUUUUCACCCCACACUAGAAAGCCAUUCUGUUUAGAAAAAGGAGACGGAAGGGAAAGAAAAGGGUGCUAUACCAGUUUUCCAGUAUCACCGUCAGGGAGAAAGCAAGGCCGGAGAGUAUCUGGGCAGAUGUAACUAUAAGCAGCCUAAUAAAGGUUCCCAAGUCCAAACCAUGAAUCCAAACGGCAGAGCUGCCAGACAUGAAAGGCCUUGCUGCCCUUCCACCCCACAAUACUUCACCUCUGGAAGCCUUGACAAUUCCAGGGAGUAUUUGCAAAACCCUGCCCCCACCCAAAAUUUUUAAAAUACUGCAUAUGAGUGAGUAAAAUGAUGCCGAGAUUUUUAAAAGGACAAGCUUACCAUCAGAUAGGUAGAAUGAGUAGUAGUGGCAGCGGUGGUGGUAGUGAUAUAGAGAUAAAAGAGUUAAGUGGAGUUACUGAAAUGUGUAGUUAUAUUUCUCACACUCUGGUGUUUGUGGAUUUGUGGGCUGAGAUUCUUAUCAAAUUCCGGAACUUGCAAUGUCUCAAGGUAAUUGUUUAAAAUAUUAAUUGUUUUACUCACACUGCAAAUGUUGAUAUAGAUGCUGGGGUGGAGGUGGGGCAAUAGGCCAGAAUAAGCCCAAGAAUACCUUGGAAUUUGCUGAAUUUCUUUCUUUUUGCAUAAUCUUAUUCACACAUUAACAUAAUAUGAACCACUCUGGCUCCAUGAGCAGCACAGAAGAGACUUUCUGCAAAUGUGAUUAUUAGGGCAAAAGUUAGGAGAUUUUUUGCCCCCAGCUUUUCUCCUCUCCUAAAAUCUUUUUUUUUUUUUCAUUUCUUUGUCAGUGUCUUUAAUUUUUUUAGCUGCAUUUAAAAGGCUUUCUAUUAUUUCUGCAUGAGUAAGAGCAUGUGUCAUGUCAGCCUCCUUGUCAGCUUCUGUUUCACUUUCAUUAAAUUUGUUGAUUGAGUGUAAAGAAGGAGGCACUGUCAUCAUUUCCAGAUUUCAUAGCUGUAGGUUAGAUCUCUCUCGGAGCAAUGCCAUGAUUACUGCUGCAAUUUUGUAAUGGAGCCCUGGAGAGACAGGGAUGAAACCAGGGAAGGCUCCUUAUCCCUUUCGUGGGUCCAGGGAGGCAGAAAGAGAGGGGAGGAGGAUGUUUCUGUUUCACCUCUAUUCAUUCAUUCAUUCAUUUGCUUCACAAAUAUUGAGCACCUCCUGAGUGACAGACACUGAUUUGGGUGCUGGAAAGCAUAAGCAGCCCUGGUGCCUGUCCUCACAGAGCCUAUGGUCUGCUGGUGAGACGGACUUAAUCAGAUAAACACACUAAUGAAUGUAUAGUUGCACCAACAGAUCCUCAUUUAAUUGAGCUGGACUAGGACCUAGGCAUCAGUAUUUUUUUUAUAAGCUUCAUAGGUAACUCUGCCAGGCCUGGGAAUCACUGGGCUAGACCAUGCAAGUUCUAAUCAUAUAGGCUCUACUCAAGCAUUAAGCAUUUUGAUUUUAUCUUUCAAGCUGUGGUGAAAACGUUACUGAAGAGAGGUGAUAUAGUAAGAUGCUCACGGUUUUUAAAAUUAAGCUUUUUUAUUUUGAAAUAAUUAUAGACUCAUAUGCAGUUGUAAGAAAUAAUACAGGGGAAUCCCAUAUAUCCUUUAUCCAGUUUCCCCAAUGGUAACAUCUUGCAAAACUAUGGUACAAUAUCACAACCAGGAUAUUGACCUUGGUGCAGUCAAGAUAAAGCAUUUUCAACACCACAUGAAUCCCUCCUGUUGUCCUUGGAUAGCCCUCCCCACUUUACUCCUGGUGACCACUAAUAUGUUCUCCAUUUCUAUAAUCUUGUCUUUUCAACAGUUAUAUAAGUGGAAUCAUAUAGUAUAGAACCUCAUGGGAUUGGCUGUUUUCUCUCAGCAUCAUUUUCUGGACAUUCAUUCAGGUUGUUUCACGUGUCAAUAGUUUGUUCCUUUUUAGAGGGCUGACUAGCGGUGUUCCAUGUAUAGGGGUGCCAUAGUUUGUUUAACCAUUCACAUGUUGAAGGACAUCUGGGUCUGCUCCAAUGUUCAGAGAUUUUAAAUAGAGCUGCUAUACACAUUUGUGUAUAGGUUUUUGUGUGAACAUGAAGUCUUUGUUUCUCUGGGAUACAUGCCCAAGUGUGCAAUUGCUGAGUUAUAUGAUAGUUGCAUGUAGAAACUAUCAUGCAUAAAGAAACUGUCAAACUAUUUCCAGAGUAUCUGCACCAUUUUACAUUCUCAACAGUAAUGUACCAGUGAUCCAGUUUCUCCUCAUUCUCAUCAGAAUUUAAUGUUGCCACUGUUUUUUAUUUCAGCCAUUCUGAUAGGUAUGUGGUAAUUGCUUGUUGUGGUUUGCUUUGAGUUUCUCUAAUGGCCAACGAUGCUGAACAUCUUUUCAUGUGCUUAGUUGCCAUCUGUAUAUUACCUUUGGUGAAGUGUCUCUUCAUGUCUUUGGCCUAUUUUCUAAUUGGAUUAUUAGCCUUAAUGUUGAGUUUUGAGAGUUUACUUUUAUAUUCCAAAUACUAGUCCCUUUUGUCAAAUAUGGGGUUUGCAAUUUUUUUCCCACUCUCCAAUUUGUUUUUUAUCCUGUUUACAGGGUCUUUCACAGAGCAAAGUUUUUUAAUUGUGAUGCAGUCUAAUUUAUCAGCUUUUCCUUUUAUGGACCAUAUUUUUGGUGUCGAGUCUAAGUCGUCUUUGCUGAGUCCUACAUCAUGAAGAUUUUUUCUUACUAAAAUUUGAUAGUUUUAAAUGUUCUCUAUUUAAGUCCGUGAGUUAUUUUGAGUUAAUUUUUGCAUAAGGUAUAAAUCUUAGGUUGAGGCUCACUUUUUAAUCUUAAGGAUUGCUCAGCAUCAUUUAUUGAAAAGGCUAUCUUCCCUCCAUUGAAUUUCUUUUGUACCUGUGUCAAAACAUCAGUUGCAUAUAUUUGUGUGUAUCAAUUUCUGGGUCUUCUGUUCUGUUCAGUGGAUCUAUGUGUCUAUUUCUCUGCCAAUACCAUAUAGUUUUGACUAUAGUAGCUGUAUAAUAAGUCUUGAAACCCUUGAAACCAGGUAAGACUGGUCCCUUUCAUAUUAGCCUUCCUUUUCAAAAUUGUUUUAGCUAUUCUAGUUCCUUUGCUUUUCUGUAUACAUUGUAGAAUAGUGUUGUCUAUAUCUAUUUUUAAAACUUGCUGGAAUUUUUUUUUAAGAGACAGAGUCUUGCACUGUUGGCCAGGUUGGAGUACAGGGGUAUGAUCAUAGCUCACUACAGCACCAAACUCCUGGGCUCUAGCAAUCUUCCUGCCUCAGUCUCCCAAGUAGGUAGAACUACAUGCAACUGCCACUACAAUCGUAUUUAAAAGUAAAGUUAAAAAAAUUUUUUUUGAGAGAAGAUCUCACUCUGUUGACUAGUCUGGUCUUGAACACCUAGCCUCCAGCAAUCCUCUUGCCUCCCAAAGCACUGGAAUUGCAAGAGUGAGCUACCAGGCCCAACCAGUAUGUUAUGUGUGCAGUUUUUUGUAGAUAUUAUUUAUUAUGUUGAGGAAACUCCCCUCUAUUGCCAUUUUUCUGAUAGUUUUUAAGAUCAUUCAUGGGUGUUGAAGUUUGUCAGAGUCUUUCUGUAUCCAUUGAUUGUUAUGAUCAAGAAUUUUUUCUUUAGCCUGUUAAUACGAUGUAUUAAAUAGCUUCAUUUUCAACUACUGAGCCAGCCUGAAAUAAACCUCGCUUGGUCAUGAUAUAUUAUUACAUAUGCUGCUGAAUUCUAUUUUCUCUUUUACUGGUCUUUUGGCUGGAGAGAGUAGGCUUUUGUUGGGGCUUUACUUGUACGUGCACAUUGUUAUUUCUGGGUUGUCAGCCUCCUUCUCUCCAAGUCUGGGAUAUAUGGGACAAAAACAUAAUCCAGGGAGCCCACCACCUUGUUAGACUUUGAGUCCCUAGAUCCCUAGGUGGUCUGGCUUCUUUUUUUCACCUUUGAAAAUCUUAUGUUUGUUUUAUACAUAAUGUUGAGAGUUUUUCGUUGUUCUUAGUGGCAGAAGUAUAGAAAGAUACUCCAUCUUCUCAAAAAUAGAAGUUCAGAUUAUGUUUUGAAAGGCACUGUAGGCAGGCCAGGGAAGGCUUGUAAAAGGCUACUGCACUGGUCCAGGUGAGGGGAGUUAGUCUGGUAGAAGGCUGUUUCUUCCACCAUUCUCCCCUCACAUUCCACUGCCCCAUUUGCAUGGAGCUGGGGUUCUACUACCCCAGUAGGGCAGCAAGAGAGAAGGAGCAGGCAAUAUCUUGGAGCAUUACACCAUGAUAAAGGGACACCAAUACCCUCCAGAUGCUAGCUGUUUCUUUCUAGAGCUUUUAAACAUUCUCCUUCAGCAGAAGAAAUAAGUCACUCCUGAAAGCAUCCUAACAAUGUGCAUUUCUCCAAAGUUUCCUUAACACUUCACAUUUAACAUGACUCCAGGUAUAAGCAACAUUAAACAAGUCAUAUCUUAUGUUACAACUUGAGUGAAACUUUAAUGAUGCUGAAUUUGCUAAUUUGCUCUGGUAUAAUGUAUUUCCUGUUUAUAAUCCCUUUUGGCUAAUAGCACUAAUCAACAGAAAACACUGACAGACUGCACAAUGGCAACAGUAAUUCUGGACAGAGAUAGUUUUAUUAUCUACAGAUGAAUCCAUGUUUCUAAAACAUUAUUUACUAUAAUGUAAAAUAUGGGUUGGGCGUGGUGGCUCACACCUGUAAUCUCAGCACUUUGGGAGGCUGAGGCGGGCAGAUCACCUGAGGUCAGCAGUUCAAGCCUAGCCUGGCCAACAUGGUGAAACCCCAUCUCUACUAAAAAUACAAAAAUUAGCCAAGUGCAGUGGUGCAUGCUUGUAAUCCCAGCUACUUGGGGGGCUGAGGUAGGAGGAUUGAUUGAACCUGGGAGGCAGAGGUUGCAGUGAGCCGAGAUCAUACCACUGCACUCCAACCUGGGCAACAGAAGGAGACUCUAUCUCAAAAAAUAAAAAUAAAAAUAAAAAUAAAAUGUAGUAGAUAAAGGUCAUAAUUUCUAUGCACCAAAGCUUUUAUAGGAGGCCUGUAUUUUAGCAAUCAACCUGUCCUUAUUCUGUUCAAAUUCAAGGGCACUUGAAUCACUUUAGAUGGUGUCACCUACAUUGGGAAGCAAUCACAGUAUAGAUAUUUUUUCUUAUUAUGUUUGCAAAAUAAACUUCACAAAAUUGUCUAGCAACCUUGUGACCACUUGUUUUCUUUUAUUGAACAUAAUAAUCCUUUUAAC